GGGGAUGACAGGCUUCGACGGGAGAGGCUGAUUCCGGAAUGCGAGCCGAGCGCGCACCGACCUCGAUAACUCAGUGCAACAAUCAAGUGCCAACAACAGCACUUCAUACGCUGCUAUGCCCCUCGCCGCCUAAGGCGAACAUAACAGUAUGACAUCUUAGGAUGUCACGUCCACCGGCACCGCCCUCUAUCGGGUGACGGACCGGGCGAAACAAAGAUAGAGUGCCACGUGUGAUUCUGCUAAACACGUGAAAGACUAGCAGAUGGUCACAGGUUAACCAGCCCGCCGGGGUGCCUGUGGUGACGAUAAGCGGCAGGCUACGCUCGUAGAGUUCCGAGGGUUGAAUCUUUCGGACCCGGGUUCAAUUCCCGGCAUCUCCACAA
This 383-nucleotide transfer-messenger RNA is filed under the name Anaerolineales. RNAcentral describes it as "OLB14 sp017303655 Standard tmRNA". It matches the Rfam family "transfer-messenger RNA". Rfam says of the family: Bacterial tmRNA, also known as 10Sa RNA or SsrA, is named for its dual tRNA and mRNA-like properties. Its role is to liberate the mRNA from a stalled ribosome. The record is from RNAcentral. RNAcentral also lists the same sequence under 1 other name. Lineage: Bacteria; Bacillati; Chloroflexota; Anaerolineae.